This 4367-nucleotide long non-coding RNA is filed under the name Homo sapiens (human). RNAcentral describes it as "non-protein coding lnc-ZSCAN10-3:33". The record is from RNAcentral. Lineage: Eukaryota; Metazoa; Chordata; Mammalia; Primates; Hominidae.
AGGAAAGGCGAGGCUCUGCAUCUAGAUUUACCUCGUUCUCUUUUGUCUCCGCUUUUUUUUCACAUUUCCUUGCGACCCUGGCCCUUGAGCGACAAAAAGGGGAAGCCAAGGCUGGCCCGAGGAACGGAGAGGGCACAUGGCCUAGCCACAAGUGGAGCUUCUGCUCCGCCCGAAGGGAUGCGCUGGAGCGGCCUCUUCCUUCUGCCACGGUCUUUCUUUGCCAACUAGUGGAGACUGGACCUCAGAAGAGGGAGUGGGUGCCCCGAGAACUCACAGCUAGCGGACAGUGGAAAGGGCAGGAGCCGGACCAAGGUGAGGACAGUGGAACUGAAGGCCGCUGGUUACCUCUCCUGCCCUCCGCUGGCCACAGUGGAGAAGACAGCCCCUCCCUCCUGCUCUGACCUGACAGUGUUCAUCCAUCGCCCUGUAUUAGCGAAGAACAACAUCAAGCUGGCUAGCAAGGAACUGUAUACAGGGUCCAGCUGGGUAUCACACUGGAUCUCACCCAAAGCUUAGAUGUGAUCCAGCUCAGUAUCACAAAGCAGAACGAAAAGGAUGUGUUUGGGCUGAGAGGCCAUACAUUGGUAAGUGGCACAUGAACUGUAUUUUCUAUUGAGCAUUGCUGGUAUAUGGCAAAUUUGCAUAAAAUUAUAUUGAAAUUGACUACCGGAUUGCACUUUCUUGUUCCUUCUGAUAAUUUUUCACGUGUUCUUUUUCUUUCUUACUUUAGAUGGAGUCUUGCUCUGUCGCCCAGGCUGGAGUCCAGUGGCGCGAUCUCGGUUCACUGCAAGCUCUGCCUCCCGAGUUCAUGCCAUUCUCCUGCCUCAGCCUCCUGAGUAGCUGGGACUACAGGCACCUGCCACCACGGCUGGCUAAUUUUUUUUUUUUUUUUUUUGAAAUGGAGUCUUGCUCUGUUGCCCAGGCUGGAGUGCAGUGGCGCGAUCUCAGCUCACUGCAAACUCCGCCUCCCGAGUUCAUGCCAUUCUCUUGCCUCAGCCUCCCGAGUAGCUGGGACUACAGGAGCCCACCACCAUGCCCGGCUAAUUUUUUGUAUUUUUAGUAGAGACGGGGUUUCACCAUGUUAGCCAGCAUGGUCUCUAUCUCCUGACCUCGUGAUCCACCUGCCUCGGCCUCUUUUUUAUAUUUUUAGUAGAGAUUUCACUGUGUUAACCAGGAUGGCCUCGCUCUCCUGACCUCAUGAUCUGCCCGCUUCAGCCUCCCAAAGUGCUGGGAUUACAGGCGUGAGCCACCGCGCCCGGUUAUUUGUUUAUUUAUUUAUUUAUUUUUUGAGACCGAGUCUUGCUCUGUAGCCCAGGCUGGAGUGCAGUGGCGCCAUCUUGGCUCACUGCAACCUCCACCUCCCACAUUGAAGCAGUUCUCCUGCCUCAGCCUCCCAAGUAACUGGGAUUACAGGAGCACACCACCACAUCUGGCUAAUUUUUUGUAUUUUUAGUAGAGAUGGGGUUUCACCAUGUUCGCUAGGCUGGUCUGAAACUCCUGACCUCAUGAUCCACCCGCCUUGGCCUCCCAAAGUGCUGGGAUUACAGGCAAUUCUGCUGCCUCAGCCUCCCAAGUAGCUGUGAUUACAGGUGUGUGCCACCAUGCCCGGCUAAUUUUUGUAUUUUUAGUAGAGACGAGGUUUUGCCAUGUUGCCCAAGCUGGUCUCAAACUCCUGACCUCAAGUGAUCUACCCGCCUUGGUCUCCUAAAGUGUUAAGAUUACAGGCAUGAGCCAUCGGGACCGGCCCACUGUUUUUUCUCGCUAGAAAAUACAGUCUAAAGUGGCCAGGUGCGGUGGCUCACGCCUGUAACCAUCCUGGCUAACACGGUGAAACCCCAGCUCUACUAAAAAUACAAAAAAUAAGCCGGACGUGGUGGCAGGCACCUUGUCCCAGCUACUCGGCAGGCUGAGGCAGGAGAAUGGCGUGAACCCAGGAUGCGGAGGUUGCAGUGAGCUGAGAACACGCCACUGCACUCCAGUCUGGAUGACAGAGCAAUACUCCGUCUCACAAAAAAGAAAAUAUAGUCUAUAAAUAAUGAAGAAAGUAAAGUGAACCUGGGAGGUGGAGGUUAUAGUGAGCUGAGAUCAUGGCACUGCACUUCAGCCUGGGCAGCAGCAAGACUCCGUCUCAAAAAAAAAAAAAAAAAAGAAAUAUGCGAGCUGCUAAGCUAGGCAGUUCUGGCUCAAGAUCUCUCAUGAUACUGCAGACACCACACCAACGAGGACCCCAGUCCUCUGGCACUGGAGGACCCACUUAGAAGGCGGAUGACUCACGUGGCUCUUGGCAGGAGACCUCAGUUCCUCCCCACAUAGGCCUCCCUAUAGGACUGCUUGAGUGUCCCGUUUACCAAAUGAUCUAAAUAUGUUCCGGUUUUGAUUGGCUGCUCUGCAAUGUGGGCCGUUAUCUAGCUGAUUCGGUGGGGCCUGAAGUGUCAGUUCCUGCCGCAGGGAUGUUAUAUGGAACCUUUGGCAGGCCGCUACAGACGAAUCAUAAUAUAAACCUGUGCUAGUUAUUGAUUACGUCCCAGCUCCUGCGUUGCCUGCUCUGUGAAAUGGUUCUGGCCCUUUAGUUUUUCCUUUACCAGCUGGCAUGAUCUUAAGCUUUGUCAGUAGAGGGCGCUGGAGAGACAUUGCAGGAGACGAGUUUCCCUUCCUGCUUCUGGUGUGUUCUCUCUAGGCUCCGGCAUGACGGGUGACUUCUUCCGAGUCUGGCUUCUGCAGCACACAGGGCUUCGCCAGCACCCAGCUCCUGCAGCAUGGGCAGCUCCUGUGACAGCAGGCGCCCGCAGCCUGCAAAGCGUCUCCAGUGCCGCCGCCUCAGUGAACCUCAACCAGCGGCACCUAGCAGCUUUCUCUGCCACCCUCUUCAGGUAGUUCUGUAGCAGCGCGUUUCUCAUGAGACACUUCCCUGUGAGCAGCUUUUUCUACCCUUGAGGAUGGAUUUCCAGCAAAUUCUGCCCAUGUGGUACCACAGCCACUUCUCUGCCAUUCAGUGAAACUGCCGUUGUGCCCUCUUCAAGGUCUGGAUCUAAGCCCAGGGACCAGGAAACCUCUUGCUUGAGUGCUGGAACUCAGGCCAGAAGGCAGGAAGCCCGCCUGACCCCAUGUCUCAGGCUGCCAGAGGAGCGUGCGAUGAGGAAGGCUGGACUGUCUUCACAGGACACCAGGGAGAAGCCUCAAGCCACUGCCCCCUGACAAGUCGCAGCUCUCCAGCCUGUCUCCUCACUCCCCUCCCCUCCACAUGGGGGGGUUGGGGUGGGGGCGGGGAAGGUUCGGGGCAGGGGUCAUUUCAGCUACUGGGCACCAGUCUCCUCCUCAUGUUUAUCCUGUUCCCUUUGCUUGAAAGGUUCGUACUCCAGAUCCUUGUAAAACCGCUUCUCACCCUUUGAGUCUCAGCUUAAAUGUCCCCUCCUUGGAGGGGUCUUCCCUGACAAUGAAGCUCCGACCGUCCUCUCCUGUUUUACCCAGUUCAUUUCUUUCUGGCAUUUGUAACUACUUGAAGUUAAAGUGUGUGCCAUGUAUGUGUCUGUCAGUUUCCCCCACCACACUGGAACCCCAUGAGGGCAAGGGUCUUGUCUGGAAUCUUCCUCACUUACAACUCAACAUUUAGCAAAGGACCUUUGCUAAAUUAACAGGCAUUCAUUUUGUAUUUGAAAAAUGAACUAGUGAGGCCGGGCGUGGUGGCUCACACCUGCAAUCCCGGCACUUUGGGAGACCGAGGCGGGCUUGAGGUCAGGAGUUCGAGACCGGCCUGGCCAACAUGGUGAAACCCCAUUAAAAAUACAAAAAUUGGCUGGGCGCGGUGGCUCACGCCUGUAAUCCCAACACUUCGGGAGGCUGAAGCGGGCGGAUCACGAGGUUAGGAGUUCAAGACCAGCCUGACCAACAUAGUGAAACCCCAUCUCUACUAAAAAUACAAAAAUUAGCCGGGCAUGAUGGCAGGCGCCUGUAAUCCCAGCUACUCGGGAGGCUGAGGCGGAAGAAUCGCUUGAACCAGGAGGUGGAGAUUGCCGUGAGCUGAGAUCACGCCACUACACUCCAGCCUGGGCAACAGAGCACGAAUCCAUCUCCGAAAAACAAACAAAAAAACGAAUGUGUGAGGAACGCAGCAAAGCCCCUACAGUUAACGUUUGCCGCCCUCUGCCCCUCAGGCACUCCAGAGCCGCGAGCCGCCUCGCACAGCCCGCGCGUUUCUUCUGCUCCCCCGGAAGAGGGCACGGUCUCCUUCCUGGCCGCUCUCUGCCGGCCGUACCGCACGACAGCUGGCAGCACCGUCAGCCCCUGCUCGGGAGCUCGGAAGAUGCUCUAGCUCCGCGGCCAGUGCAGCGAACCCACCCAACCCUGGUGCAGGAGCCAUUGCAGCAAAU